GGCCUAAUACAUGCAAGUCGAGCGCGCCCUUCGGGGUGAGCGGCGGACGGGUGAGUAACGCGUGGGAAUAUGCCCUUCUCUAAGGAAUAGCCUCUGGAAACGGAGAGUAAUACCUUAUACGCCCUUUGGGGGAAAGAUUUAUCGGAGAAGGAUUAGCCCGCGUUAGAUUAGGUAGUUGGUGGGGUAAUGGCCUACCAAGCCUACGAUCUAUAGCUGGUUUGAGAGGAUGAUCAGCCACACUGGGACUGAGACACGGCCCAGACUCCUACGGGAGGCAGCAGUAGGGAAUCUUAGACAAUGGGGGCAACCCUGAUCUAGCCAUGCCGCGUGUGUGAUGAAGGCCCUAGGGUCGUAAAGCACUUUCGCCAGAGAUGAUAAUGACAGUAUCUGGUAAAGAAACCCCGGCUAACUCCGUGCCAGCAGCCGCGGUAAUACGGAGGGGGUUAGCGUUGUUCGGAAUUACUGGGCGUAAAGCGCACGUAGGCGGAUUAGUAAGUUAGAGGUGAGAUCCCAGGGCUCAACCCUGGAACUGCCUUUAAUACUGCUAGUCUUGAGUUCGAGAGAGGUAAGUGGAAUUCCGAG
RNAcentral lists this ribosomal RNA (582 nucleotides) under uncultured Alphaproteobacteria bacterium. Its description in RNAcentral is "bacterial SSU rRNA". It matches the Rfam family "Bacterial small subunit ribosomal RNA", at positions 45 to 673 of the family's 1533-position model. Lineage: Bacteria; Pseudomonadati; Pseudomonadota; Alphaproteobacteria. The record is from RNAcentral.